UGGGGAAUAUUGGACAAUGGGCGAAAGCCUGAUCCAGCCAUGCCGCGUGUGUGAAGAAGGUCUUCGGAUUGUAAAGCACUUUAAGUUGGGAGGAAGGGCAGUAAGCUAAUACCUUGCUGUUUUGACGUUACCGACAGAAUAAGCACCGGCUAACUCUGUGCCAGCAGCCGCGGUAAUACAGAGGGUGCAAGCGUUAAUAGGAAUUACUGGGCGUAAAGCGCGCGUAGGUGGUUUGUUAAGUUGGAUGUGAAAGCCCCGGGCUCAACCUGGGAACUGCAUCCAAAACUGGCAGGCUAGAGUACGGUAGAGGGUGGUGGAAUUUCCUGUGUAGCGGUGAAAUGCGUAGAUAUAGGAAGGAACACCAGUGGCGAAGGCGACCACCUGGACUGAUACUGACACUGAGGUGCGAAAGCGUGGGGAGCAAACA
RNAcentral lists this ribosomal RNA (427 nucleotides) under uncultured bacterium. RNAcentral's name for it is "partial 16S ribosomal RNA". It matches the Rfam family "Bacterial small subunit ribosomal RNA", at positions 355 to 774 of the family's 1533-position model. The record is from RNAcentral.